CCUACGGGUGGCUGCAGUGGGGAAUAUUGCACAAUGGGCGCAAGCCUGAUGCAGCCAUGCCGCGUGUGUGAAGAAGGCCUUCGGGUUGUAAAGCACUUUCAGCGGGGAGGAAGGCGUUAAGGUUAAUAACCUUGGCGAUUGACGUUACCCGCAGAAGAAGCACCGGCUAACUCCGUGCCAGCAGCCGCGGUAAUACGGAGGGUGCAAGCGUUAAUCGGAAUUACUGGGCGUAAAGCGCACGCAGGCGGUCUGUCAAGUCGGAUGUGAAAUCCCCGGGCUCAACCUGGGAACUGCAUUCGAAACUGGCAGGCUAGAGUCUUGUAGAGGGGGGUAGAAUUCCAGGUGUAGCGGUGAAAUGCGUAGAGAUCUGGAGGAAUACCGGUGGCGAAGGCGGCCCCCGGGACAAAGACUGACGCUCAGGUGCGAAAGCGUGGGGAGUAAACAGGAUUAGAUACCCCAGUAGUC
RNAcentral lists this ribosomal RNA (465 nucleotides) under uncultured Klebsiella sp. RNAcentral's name for it is "bacterial SSU rRNA". It matches the Rfam family "Bacterial small subunit ribosomal RNA", at positions 338 to 795 of the family's 1533-position model. The record is from RNAcentral. Lineage: Bacteria; Pseudomonadati; Pseudomonadota; Gammaproteobacteria; Enterobacterales; Enterobacteriaceae.